Long non-coding RNA from Eptesicus fuscus (big brown bat), 211 nucleotides. RefSeq lists it as uncharacterized. The transcript is spliced from 2 exons. The record is from RefSeq and is a predicted model, not a curated record. Lineage: Eukaryota; Metazoa; Chordata; Mammalia; Chiroptera; Vespertilionidae.
CUUCUACCACCACCUCAUUGUACAGCUGGGCAAAUGGGAGCUGAGAGAGAAAAGGAAGUCAGUGUCCCCUGCAAUAGGACUACUCAACUUCACUCUGGAACAUUCAGAAGCAAGCACAGGGGGCCAGUUCCUGCACACGACUCCCCAUUCCCCUGGGGUACAGCUCUCACAUCCCAGCGAAGCUUCCACCAGUAAAAGGUGACAAGAUGGA